This 162-nucleotide ribosomal RNA is filed under the name Trichoderma harzianum. RNAcentral's name for it is "5.8S ribosomal RNA". The stretch from base 42 to 162 matches the Rfam family "5.8S ribosomal RNA", at positions 1 to 122 of the family's 154-position model. From Rfam's summary of the family: 5.8S ribosomal RNA (5.8S rRNA) is a component of the large subunit of the eukaryotic ribosome. It is transcribed by RNA polymerase I as part of the 45S precursor that also contains 18S and 28S rRNA. Lineage: Eukaryota; Fungi; Ascomycota; Sordariomycetes; Hypocreales; Hypocreaceae. The record is from RNAcentral.
GUUAUUUCUUACUGCUCUGAGCCAAAACCCCAAUGAAUCAAAACUUUCAACAACUGAUCUCUUGGCUCUGGCAUCAUGAAGAACGCACCGAACUGCGAAAAGUAAUGUGGAUUGCACAAUUCAGUGAAUCAUCGAAUCUUUGAACGCACAUUGCGCCCGCCA